This 183-nucleotide non-coding RNA is filed under the name Clostridia bacterium. RNAcentral's name for it is "6S RNA". It matches the Rfam family "6S / SsrS RNA". Rfam says of the family: E. coli 6S RNA was the first non coding RNA to be sequenced, but its function was unknown until recently. It consists of 184 nucleotides that fold into an extended hairpin structure with a large single-stranded internal bulge. The 6S RNA specifically associates with RNA polymerase holoenzyme containing the sigma70 specificity factor. Lineage: Bacteria; Bacillati; Bacillota; Clostridia. The record is from RNAcentral.
GAUUUCCUGGAAUGUUCGACAACUCUUGUUAUUUUGAACCUACAUCAGUUUAAACGGGAUUCUUAUAUUGCUACAGUUGAUGUCAGGCCUCAUAAGAUCGGAGGAAGGCAGAGAUGUAGUUGCGGUUACCCACCUAGCAUUAGCUAGGAGUCAAAAUACAAGAACCGGCAUUUUGGGAUAUCC